AGGAAUAAUUUGAUUGCGAUGCACUUUUUGCAUCCAAUUCAUUGACAUAAGGGAAAUCUGAAAGUUAAUUUAAGCGGACCUAAUUAACUUGGAGUGUUGAGUAUUCAUGGUUUAUUGAAUUGCAAUUAGAAAUCGUUUUGUAUGCAAAUGUGACAUGUGUGGAGAAGAACCCCUUAGCUAGCUUUCCAUCCAUUCAGUUUUAUUAAUUUCAUUUUACAAUCUGUUUGGUUUGCUUAGUUUCUGUUUUGUCUUAAUUUUCGUCAAAAUCAAUUCCCCAUUUAUUUUAAAGUGUUAGAUUAGUUAGAAAUCAAUUUAGUUUGUGUUUUUAAGUGUCUUGAGUCAAAUUAUAGUGUAAUUUCGUCCAAAUUAGUGUUAGGUGCUCAAAACUGCCCAGUAAGUGUUUUUAAGGCAGUUUGGAGUGUUUAUUUGCUGUUUUGAGUCUUUUGGUUUAUUUUGGUGUUUUAAAGUUUAGUUUUGCAUUCUUUGAGUCUAGUUUAGUGUUUUAAACUUGUUUUUACGUAGUUGAGUCAGUUUUUAAGUGAUUUAGCAAUCCCUCCUAAUCCCCGGCCUAGAACGAUCCCUACUUACAUACUUGCUACAAUUGAUAAAAAGAGGGUUUAAUUUGUGUGCUUAUAUAUUUCACACCAAGCAUGUCGUGGAUGACAUACCCUUGGAUGCCGUGGGCCCUAAUGAGGAGUAAAUGAGGUCUUCGUCCGGCUGUACGACGUUAAAGCAAGCGCUACUUGGGAGGCAACCCAUGCAUUCGACAAAGGAAGACCUAGAGAGCACUCCAAUUCCAGAUUUGCGUUUCUAAACCCUUCUCUUUGUUGUUAUUUCGUUUCUGCCAUGUUAGAUUGUUUAGUUGCUGUUUUCUUUGUUUGUUGGUUAUUUGUGUUAGUUUAAGCUUGAAACAUUGAGGACAAUGUUUGAUUUAAGUGUGGGGGGGUAACGAAAGUGUUUUGAUGCAAAUUCGUAGGGUUUUCUCACUCAUAACUUCCAAUGUUGUUUCUUGCUGUUUUUAAGUGUUUUUAAGCUGUUUUGGUGUGUUUUAGUGUGUUUUGACUUAAAAUCCGAAAAUCCCAUAAAAAUUUGAAAAAUUGUUUUGAAAAACCCAAAAAGAGUUGUUUUUGUGUGUUUGUUUGUAUCUUAGGGUACCUUCCAACACAAUGAUGAGGAUUCGGUUUGUAAUUGCAUGACUGUUAAAGAGAGUUGUAAACAUGGAUGAAAGUUUGAUUUACUCUUUGGUUUAUGCUUGGUUUUGGUUAUAACUUAUGAAUUCACAUGUAAUCAUAAAGAAAAGAAAAAAAAAAUUAGUUUUUGUAACAUGCUUGAAGGAAGGAACUCAAACUAACACUACAACCCUGAGAGAUUUGAGCCUAAACUUUAUUUGGAGAGUUAUUAAUCUGUGAUUUCUUGUUUUCUAAAGUCGUUGCAUGAUCUCAUUAUUCUUUGCUUGGUUACUACUUAGAAGGCGUUUCAUCAUUUAGUCCCAAACACUAGAACUCAUGCCCAUUUCAUUCAAAGCACGCUAUUGAUUUGCAUAACACAUAUUCAAGAUGAAGUUGUGUAGUGACCACCAUUUAAGCCAAAUUGCCGUGUCCCCCAUGUUCAUUUGUUUUGUAGGUUUUAACCUCGUUGAGCCUUGGUUAGCCUAUAUUGUUGUUAACCCACAUUAUCCUCACCUAGCCUAGAUUAGGACCAUCCAUACCCUUGUUCUUGUAGCAUAGUAAAGCAUGACUCAAGAUGAAUUCCUUUUGAUCAGGUAUUGCAGAAAACAAGUGUGGGGGAAUUUGAUGUAUGUGUGUGCCAAAGUCUUUAAUGAGGCACGGGUAGAAAAAGAAAAAGAAAAUUCGUUGAAAAUAGAAAGAAAAAAAAAAGUUGUGAAAAAUAUGAAAAAGAGUUGAAAAAGAUGUGGAAAUGAGCUCUAAAGUGUUGGUUGUUGAAGAAAGGGUCCAAAACAUUGUAUUUGACCCUAAGUGUUGCAUGAACUUCCCCUUUGUGUUUAAGGUUGAUUUUUGCAUUCAAAAGGGAAUUCUAAGUGUCAAUAUCAUUGCUUGGCUUACUAUUGUUUUAAGAACAUUUGUUUAUCCUUUACCUUUCUUUGUUAGCCAAUACCCUUAGCCCCGUUACAACCCUUGACUUCCAUCUUGAGUGUUGUGUAUUUCAAUUUGUGGAGUUUGGAAGUGGUAUGAGCAUAUGGUGUCCCUGGUUCUCGCAUCUAAGUAGUGACAUUCCAAUCAUGAGAUCAUAUACAUGCUUAUUAACUCCAGAAAUUGCUUUCCUUGUUAUAUCAUAUGUGAGUACUAGUUUUCAUAUUUACAUCAAUCCUCUCACAUAUAACUAGUAUAGGGUGUGUAGUCAGAAAAUCUGUGUGAAAAUUGAGUGCAUAUCUAGUAAGGAAUUGAGCAAAUUCUCUAAGGCAUGUUACUACAUUCAAAACAUCGUUUUAAAUGGUUAAAUGUGAACUAGUAAGUGGUGACUAUGAUUAAGUAUGUGCUUAAGUGUGAAGAUGACUAAAAUCUGUGGGAGUGAUGAUUUUUAACAUGUCAUGUGCAUUGGAAAUCCCUGAGGCAAAUGUUGGAAGGUUUAGAUUAUGUUUUUGUUUUGUUUUGCUCGAGGACUAGCAAAAGCUAAGUGUUGCUCGAGGACUAGCAAAAGCUAAGUGUGGGGGAAUUUGAUAGGAGCAUAUUUAUGCGACUUAGUGGGCUUGUUCUUGUGCAUUUAUGUUGUUUUUCUUUAGUUAUUUUAGUGUUUAAAGUCAUUUUCGUGCAAUUUCAGGUUUUAGAGACAAAGUAUGCAAAGAAGUGCAAAAUGGAGCAUUUUAGAGCAAAAUUGAGCUGGAAUGGAGUGUAUGCUUAUGGAGCACAAGGAAUGGACGAGUUUGAAGGUCAAAAGAGCUUAAGAAAUGAAGAAAUGAAAGUGAAGAACAAAGAAUUCAGAAUUGGAAACCAAAGUUUCUAAAGUUGGAAGUUUCUAUUCUUGGAGGUUUCCAUUUUUGAGAGUUUUUAUUCUUGGCUUUGGGCUUUUAGAUGACCUAUCCGUACCCUCUUAGACUUGGGCCGCACCUUCCUAGCCCAAUCCCUCUUGGAUUCUGACUUGUUAGGCCCUUUCCUUGUGGAUUUGGGAUAUACAAAUCCCUUUCUAAAAACUAAGUGGGCCAAAACCCUAAUUCCUUGUGGAUUUUCACCCCUUGCUGCACCUAAACCCUAGCCCAUUGCCUAACCUGAUUUCUCUAGGGUUUGUGGUGCCUAUAUAUAUAUAUGUUUUCACUCUAUGCCGUGGAGACCACCCCUCCAUAUUCAGAAUUUUCGCCAAAAAUGAUUCCCUCUCUUUGCCGCAGCCUUCCUUCACCAUUCUUCCAUAUUUUUCUGAUUCUUUUUACCCUAGCCGUACCCCCCAUAAAUCCUAAACCCUUCCAUACCAUUCCCUACC
RNAcentral lists this long non-coding RNA (3432 nucleotides) under Malus domestica (apple). Its description in RNAcentral is "long non-coding RNA (MDOM_LNC020910)". The record is from RNAcentral. Lineage: Eukaryota; Viridiplantae; Streptophyta; Magnoliopsida; Rosales; Rosaceae.